Molecule: transfer RNA, 72 nt
Filed under: Canis lupus familiaris (dog)
Lineage: Eukaryota; Metazoa; Chordata; Mammalia; Carnivora; Canidae
Also listed under: 2 other names
Rfam family: tRNA
About the family: Transfer RNA (tRNA) molecules are approximately 80 nucleotides in length. Their secondary structure includes four short double-helical elements and three loops (D, anti-codon, and T loops).
Source: Rfam by way of RNAcentral
GCCUGGCUGGCUCAGUCGGUAGAGCAUGCAACUCUUGAUCCUGGGUUAUAAGUUCAAGCCUUAUGUUGGGCA